UAGGGGAGGCUCCUACCGCCCAGGUACCCUUCCCUCAGCCCACUAACCCCCAUCACAUAGGUCAAGGGAUGAUCUUUCAGAUAUGGAGGCUGUCAGUUAAUUCCUGGCCAUGAUGCUAUCCUCACAGAGGCUAAGCCCUUCCUUUCCCGUUUCCGUAGAAAUAGCUGCUGACUGGAAACAGGAGCAGGAGUUUUUGGGUGCUUGCUAGACAGAGAGCCAAGGACAAUGGGAGAGACAGAGGUGAGAUGAUAGGAUGGGCAGUGGCUGAUGCAGGGGACUGGCUCUGAAUAAUCAGGGACCUAAGAACAAAGGGUCUGGAGCCAGGGCUGCCACCUCCUUCCUCUGUGACCUCGGGUAGGGAUAGCACGGCUCUGUGCUUGCUUCCUAGUCUCUGAGACAGAGUUCGUUCUGUGAGGGUCAGAUGAUUGUGUAGUGCUCAGUACACAGCUACACUACACAACACACACUAGAGAGUGCUGCGGGCGUGCCAGUCUUUGCAUGUAAGCUACUGUACAGCUGUUACAGCUCUUCCCUCCCCCUUACCCCACGAUACUUCUUCCAUUCCUCCCCCACAUACCCCACAGCUGGGAGAUGGGCAAAUGAGAAGAGGUGAUACAGGGAGGGCCGGGUGACAGCACCCAGGGCCUCUCUGUGUGCGGAAGGUUGUCUCAGCCCGGACACCUUCCCAUGACAGAGCAAUCUCAGCUGUGGGGGGGGGGGCGACAGGAGUCGGCUGCCCUGGUGCCUCCCCUCCCUUGUCUGGAGCUAGCUGCCCUGGUGCCUUCCCCGCUUGUCUGCAUGUCAAUCUCUCUGCUGGUGAGAGCCUAGGUGACAGGAGAGGGCUGCUCUGAGCUGCAGGGUGGCCAGCGGCAGAGGCCUGACAGGGAGUGCCACUGUCUGCUGCUUCCUGGCGGCUGACACUCAGGACAGCUGCCAGUCUCUCCUGGAGACAGCAACACAACCAGAGAACGGAUGAGAUGCUGUGGGGGGAACAAGGUAGUGAGUGGUUUGAGCGGCUUCUGCAGCCGCUGCUGUGCAGUACUGCCCUGUGCCACCUUAAAGUGCAGAUAUGGCCCUGGGGGGCACCCACCCAUCCCAUCCCAAAUGUGUAGCGCAGAACUGUCCUGUGAUGGGGAUACGGCAGAGGUGCUGGCCAGUACUAGACUAAGUGAAACCUGGGACCAUUUGAAGCAGGCAAGGGCAGAAGGAGCACUUUACUCUCCUACCCCUCUUUUUAUGCCCUCUGCAGGGCUUUGCUGUUAGGGAGAGGCUGAGUCCUUACAUUGAAGGAACGUGCUGUUUCUUUGUGAGCCUGAAAAUAAGGAGGCCAUCAGAGUGGGUAUGCUGAGGCUUACAUUAAGAGAAUGCUAAUGACACUAAGAAUACUAUUAAUGAUGGCUAACACGGACCACGCUUAUUACAUGCCAGGCACUGCGUCCAGGGCCAUAUUUACAAGUACAGUCUCUUUGAUGCAGCAGGAACUGUUGCUGUCCUCAUGUACCCAAUAAGGAAAGAGGGCUUCACAGGAUUUGGUCAAGGUCACAGCUGCCAGUGAAGCCAGAACCUGUGUCUGGGAGUCCGAUGGCAAAGCUUCCGGUAGAGAGGUCUCGAAUUUGCAGAUGGGGGCUACAGAGAAAUCCCAGGUGCAGCUUUACCUACAAGGACACAAGGCCUGGAGCUGCAGACCUGCCUGCCACGGCUGUCUGUGCAGCGGGCCAGGGGGCCACAGAGAAUCCUGCUGUUUUCUCUUCAGUCACGUGUCAAUCAACAGCAGGCCAGACCUGAAAGGAUCUGAAAGGCUUUGCCAGCUGAGGAGAGCAAAAGAGAGUCUGCCUCUGUAGGAUCCAUCAGUGCCCCUGAAACAGGAAGUGAUGGCGCCUGGCAGGGAUGACAGACAGCAAGGCCAUCACUCCCUGUCACUGUCUCUGUCACUCUGUUGCCUCCUCCAACUAGGGUCAGGACUCUGGGGAGAGAGUGACAGCCAGCAGCCCAGUUGCAGAGGGGGAGGGCUGAGGAGGGUGACAGCUUUGGUUGGUUUGUUUGCCAAGGGGAGGGGAGGCAUGGAGUGCAAGAGGGUGGCUUCAAGGAUCCAUGAUCAGCACUGGGAGUGCAGACCCUCUCCGUGGGGUACCUGUGUCCCCUGGUGGGGGGUUAGGACCCAGGUGUGGCUAUGGAAAUUAAAACAAGCAGAAAGGACUUUAUGACAGACUCUGAGCAUAUGGAGCAGACACACACACACACACACACACACAUCAAUUUAAAAAACAGAAUGCAGAAUUUUUACAACUCAGGGACUGGAGAGCAGGCUCAGCAAUUACGAUCUGCUCUUCCAGGAGACUGGAAUUCUGUUCCCAGCACCCCCAGGCAGCUCACAACCACCUGUAAGCAGCAGCCUCAGGGAGUCUGACGACCUCUGGACACCGAGCUGAGCUGAUGCGCACACCUCCAUUUGAUCUCAGUACGGCAGAGGCAGGGACAUCUCUGAGUUCAAGGCCAGGACAGCUAGGGCUGCACAGAGAAACCCUGUUUCUGAAAACCAAAACCAACCAACC
RNAcentral lists this long non-coding RNA (2552 nucleotides) under Mus musculus (house mouse). Its description in RNAcentral is "long non-coding RNA chr11:116662398-116664950". The record is from RNAcentral. Lineage: Eukaryota; Metazoa; Chordata; Mammalia; Rodentia; Muridae.